Choloepus didactylus (southern two-toed sloth) is the source of this 155-nucleotide long non-coding RNA. RefSeq lists it as uncharacterized. NCBI's taxonomy places the organism in Eukaryota, Metazoa, Chordata, Mammalia, Pilosa, Megalonychidae. The transcript is spliced from 3 exons. The record is from RefSeq and is a predicted model, not a curated record.
UUUCACUGGCCAGGAGGCCUGGGGGAGCCCCAGGAGACAGUGAGGAGGGCUCUCUGGCUUCUUCUGGAACCAGCAUAUCCAGAAGUCCCCCACAAUGAAGCCACUGCUCAGGGUGCAGGAACUUUCCCAGCAUUGCCUGCAGUAAGAUAUGAGGG